UUGAUCUCGCGAACCAUGAGAUCAUGACAUGAGCCAAAAUCAGGAGUCAGACGUUCAACUGACUGAGCCACCCAGGUGCCCCUGGUCUGUAGUUUGUUUAACUUUGUAUGGUUUUGUCUAAAAAUUAUUGCAGACACUAGCUACCAUGCUUGUGAAAUUUUGUAGAAAUAGAAUUUGUAAGGUACUUGCUGCUUCAAAUGAUCAUAUUUACACAAUUUAAAUAAACCACUUUUUCCUCUUUCUUAUUUUGUGAAUGAUAUCAGAUCCACCAAAUUCCCUUACCAGAAAUGGCUCUAAAAUGCAAGCAUAGCUACUAAUACCCCAGUGUCCUCAACAUGUGUCUCUGAAGAGAUAAAUGACCUAGAAAUAUUCCCAAAUUAAAACAACAUAAAACAAAAAACACUCUAGAGUUUAAAGAUUCCAAGUCAGGAUGACAAAUGUAAACAAACUAUUUACUUGAAAAAAAAAUCUACGAACUUUGAAGAGCACUAGAACUUGCACCACCAUGGAAGGCAGUAUUCUACAAUGGCCCCCAAGAUUCCCACCCUGGAGCAUACACUUUGUGUAUCCUCUCCCCCUGAGUAUAGGCAGGACUUACCAAUAUGAUGAGAUACCAGUUAUCAGGUUACUAAUAAGUGAAUUGACUUUACUCAAUCUAAAGGGAUUAUGUAGGUGGACCUGAGAGAUUGGAGGUGUGAAGGGGCUUACAGAGGGAGUCAUGUACCUAUGCCUGAAGGCAGCCUCUAGGAACUUAGGGAAACCCUUGUCCAGCAGCCUGCAAGAAAUAGAGGCCUCAGUCCUACAGCUGCAUGAAAGUGAAUCCUGGCAAUAACCUGAAUGAGCAUGGAAGCGGCCUUCAACCUCCGGAUGAGACCCCAGCUCUCAUCUAUGGGAGCUCCAUAUUCUGUUGUGGGGAAGAGAUGUCUCUCUUUAGAACUUUCCUGCUUGGAUGGAUGGUCUGUUGACUGGAUGUUGUGCUUGGUAAGAAUCACUUACGAGUUCAUGAGGAUGGCCUUAUCAACUGUAAAAUUAAUUAAUUCAUCAAUUCAUUCAUUCAAAAAAUAUUUGAGCACCUACCACAAGCCAUGAAUGCUUCCAGACGAUGUUUUAUAUGACUAUCUUAUCUGAUGGUACCCAAUUUUUCCAUUUUCUCUUCUAGAUACUAUAUCGACCCUUCUUUUUAUCUUGAGAGGUUAAUUUUUUGGACUUCUAUGUACUCUGGAUUCAGCUAAUGGAAAAACAGGACGAGGAAAGAGUAGAAAGAAAGUGAAAUCAGGAAGCUUACUUCUCUAGAUUUUUCCCCAACGGGUUACUUUGAGCUAGCUGCAUCCCUCCACUCUUGUUGGUGUUUGUCUCCUAAGCUACUCCCUCUCAGAGUAGCCCCCUCCCUUGUCCUACCCUUGGAUGGGAAGAGCUCCCCACUACUGCUGGCCCUGGCACACAGACUCUCCCUUGUGGCAUACCUAAACCCUUGUCACACCUUUCUAAACAGUUUCUUUAUCAAACUGCCUUCAUUUUUUGAUGUUUGACUGUGCUUUUUCCUACCAAGACCAUGAACAUGUAGCACUAAUAAUCCCUCUGAAAAUUUGGUAUUUGGAACCAUUGGAUCAGGGAACUUGGAUUCCAGUGUCAGUUCAUCUUCUAUAUGAGGAACAUGGUCUUUCAGGGACAGCCUUUCCUUCUCUGCACAAUGAGAGAAGAGGUUUAAGGUUUUCACUAGGGCUCAUAAUCUAUAAAUCAGUAGGUGGGUUGUAGAGCUCACAUUUUGAGAUGUUGAGAGGAAAUGUAAUUUCUUGAUUCAGACUUCCUCAUGAAUUUCAGCCCUUUCAUGUUGGAGAAACUAUAUUCAGGCCAACCUACUGAAAUAAUAGAGCUAUCCAUUUAGAUAAUAUUCAGUCUCUCUAGGUAAAAACCUCAGCCUCUUGAAUUUCUCAGUUCAGUCUUCAGUCCCUUUUUCAGCUUCUCUCCAGGAUAGCUUCUGAGUGAAUAGAAGAAGGGGCUUAUGCUGUGUGUUCUCAUGACUAAAGAAGGGACUCCAGCUCCUUGGAUUUGCUUGGUAGCCUCUGAUUCCUCUGAGCUCCAAAGCACCAUCUCUUAUUGGCUUUAUUACAGCUUGUCCUGAAUAGCUUGUCCUGAAAAGCCUUUCAUAAGGCUUAGGGCAGGGGUUGACAAACUUGUUCAAUAAAAGGCCAGGUAGUAAAUAUUUUAGGCUUUGUGGACCCUAUAGUCUCUGUUGCAGUCCAACUCUGCAGCUCAAAAGCAGCCACAGACAGCAUGUAAACAAAUGGGUGUUUAUUUUAUUUAUAAAAUGGGAGACUGGGCUGGAUUUGACCCAGAGGCAAUAAUUUUCUGACUCCUAGUCUAGAGGUUCCUUGGCUGACUUGACCUCCCCUCACUCUCACUCAUGUAGACCCUGUGCCUUGUAUCCUUAGGCUCCAAGUGGCUCCAUCUGGAACCCAGGUCUGAGGGGUCCACUACAAGCCUUGUUGUGAAGUCACCUCACUGAUGCCAAGUUGUAAGAAGAGUGGAAGCAGAGAAUGAAGGAAGAAAAUGCUUGAGGUUUGGCUGAAUGCUUCCUCCCAGUGGAAGGAAAAUUAAAGAAAGUUGCUCCAGUUUAGGCCCAGUGGAUGGCUGAUAACCCACAGAAAGAGAGCAUCCUUCAUCCUGAUAAACGGGCUGUGAGCUGAGCACGUGACUGAGCUCCUUAAGACCUGGGUCUUCAGCUUCCUGCCCUCACCUUAACUGGAAACUGGGUAAAAGCCACAUCAAGAGGAGUUCUGAAAAUGGCAUGUGGAUGAAAAGGGAGCCUCUUGGAGAUGCUGGUGGCUGAAGAUAUGCGUCAGUCAAGGAAUUGGAUUUCCCUAUACCAAAAAGCCAUUGCUGGCUGAGCAGAACAAGAUGUGGACUCACCAAACUCAACAACCUGCUUUUCUCACAAGAAAGUAUUAAUUGCGCUACUUCCUUUUACUUAAUGAAUCUCAAAAUUUUAUUUUGGCUUUGACUGUGAAGGCGAGAGAGAAAUGCCAGGGUUCCACCCCUGCCUUCCUGAGUCAGACCAUCUGGCGAACAGAGCUCAUUCAUCUACACGUUUUUUUUUUUUUUAAUGUAUAAAAUAAACAUAACAAAAUUGACCAUCUUAA
Long non-coding RNA from Felis catus (domestic cat), 3140 nucleotides. RefSeq lists it as uncharacterized. Lineage: Eukaryota; Metazoa; Chordata; Mammalia; Carnivora; Felidae. The transcript has 6 exons. The record is from RefSeq and is a predicted model, not a curated record.